RNAcentral lists this ribosomal RNA (465 nucleotides) under Vreelandella stevensii. RNAcentral describes it as "partial 16S ribosomal RNA". It matches the Rfam family "Bacterial small subunit ribosomal RNA", at positions 338 to 795 of the family's 1533-position model. Lineage: Bacteria; Pseudomonadati; Pseudomonadota; Gammaproteobacteria; Oceanospirillales; Halomonadaceae. The record is from RNAcentral.
CCUACGGGGCGCAGCAGUGGGGAAUAUUGGACAAUGGGCGAAAGCCUGAUCCAGCCAUGCCGCGUGUGUGAAGAAGGCCUUCGGGUUGUAAAGCACUUUCAGUGGGGAAGAAAGCCUUGGGGCUAAUACCCUCGAGGAAGGACAUCACCCACAGAAGAAGCACCGGCUAACUCCGUGCCAGCAGCCGCGGUAAUACGGAGGGUGCGAGCGUUAAUCGGAAUUACUGGGCGUAAAGCGCGCGUAGGCGGUCUGAUAAGCCGGUUGUGAAAGCCCCGGGCUCAACCUGGGAACGGCAUCCGGAACUGUCAGGCUAGAGUGCAGGAGAGGAAGGUAGAAUUCCCGGUGUAGUGGUGAAAUGCGUAGAGAUCGGGAGGAAUACCAGUGGCGAAGGCGGCCUUCUGGACUGACACUGACGCUGAGGUGCGAAAGCGUGGGUAGCAAACAGGAUUAGAUACCCGAGUAGUC